Molecule: small RNA, 62 nt
Filed under: Leishmania major strain Friedlin
Lineage: Eukaryota; Euglenozoa; Kinetoplastea; Trypanosomatida; Trypanosomatidae
Description: Leishmania major h/ACA-like snoRNA
Source: RNAcentral
CCAUUUCGCUCGUCCCGCUCCGCACCGUUGAGCUGCCGUCGAUGAACAAUGGGCCGAGACGU